GGUCCAACGAAUCAGACGAGAAGAAGGUUUAGGGUGUUGAAAUGCCCAUGUCAAAGCAUUGUGAAGUCAGGUCAAGUCACC
Sinocyclocheilus grahami is the source of this 81-nucleotide long non-coding RNA. RefSeq lists it as uncharacterized. The transcript is spliced from 3 exons. The record is from RefSeq and is a predicted model, not a curated record. Lineage: Eukaryota; Metazoa; Chordata; Actinopteri; Cypriniformes; Cyprinidae.